This 1236-nucleotide long non-coding RNA is filed under the name Vulpes vulpes (red fox). RNAcentral's name for it is "lncRNA (ENSVVUG00000029261.1)". Lineage: Eukaryota; Metazoa; Chordata; Mammalia; Carnivora; Canidae. The record is from RNAcentral.
AGCGCAGGACCAGGAAGUGAUGAGCCAAGGUUAUGCGGCCGGCCCCGGGCUGAGGCACGAUCUGAACCCGGGCCCCUCCGGCCUCCUACCACACCAGGCCUCCUCCCGCAGAGCCUGAGCUCCAGGGACACCCCCCCCCCGCCCCCUCACGCGCAGCAGCACUUACCCAGGCCUCACCCCUGCACACAGGGCCGGCCUCGGGCGCCGCGCAUCACCGUCCCGCAGAGCCCGCCGGCCCGGGCACCAGGAGCGGGGGGAGGCGGGAACCACCCUCGGCCGCUCAGGGCCCCGCGGGCGCCGCCGACCGGAGGCCCCGACACGCGCUCCGCACGGCCCGGCUCGCGCACUCUCCCUCCCGAGCGCUGCGGACCGCAGGUGGGCCCAGGCCCAGGCGGCUCCGCUCACCUGGUAGGCGGCCGACCCACGGCCGGGGGCGGAGGGGCGCGUGCGCGUGCGCAUCCCGGGCCGCGGUGGGCCUCGGCUGCGCACCCGCCGCCCGCGCUCAGCGGGACCGUCCCGGGAGCCCCUUCCUCCAGGACCCGCCCCCAGAGGCCCGCCCCGGAGCCAGGAGCGGGGCCUGGAACCGGGGCUGACCUCCGCCGGCUCUCCGCGCCCGCCCCGGGCCUCAGUUUCCCCUCCUGUCGGGGGGAAGAGGAGUGCAGCACCAGCCUUGGAGGCCGCCGGGGUCCCCGCGCAGCGCGGCCCUGCAGUCACCCGGGGCACCGGGACCGUCGCGGCGGGGACAGGAGGAGACGCUGCGGCCCGGCUCGAGACGGCUCGGGACCAACGCGAAGGGCCGCGGCAGCCGCAGGGACACCCUCCACCCACCCAGCGCCGGCGGAAAGGCACCUGGAGCGUGGGCUGCGGCCGAGAGCCGCGUCUGCGGAGCUGCACCAGCGCGCGGGCUCUUCGCGCCCCCUCGUGCAUAGGAGGUGCAAAUCGAGCCGCCCGGACUGCAAGCAUCCCUACAUCUUCCCAUCACCCCGUGCACCCAUCCGUCCAUUCAUCCGGAAAAUAUUUAGGGAGCUUUCUCAUCCAUCCAUCCAUCCACCCACACGCUCCUCCAUUCAUUCGUGUAUAUGUUCAUUUAGAUUCCCACCCACCCAGAAAAAUCUACAGAGCAGCAACUUCAUAUCAGAGACUGUGCUAAGCAUUGGAAAUGCAUUGAAGAUAGACAGGCUUCCUGAUUUUUUUGUUGUUAAGUUCUCGGGGGAUAUGAGCCAGCGAACGCAAUAA